UCCAUGGUCGUGGCGCCUCGGUCUCCUGGGAAGAAGAGACGUGGAAGAGAGAGGAGGUGAGAUGGGGAGAAGAGAAGGCAGAGUAAGGACGGCGCAGAUUCCGGCGGUGGCUCCGGUUGGCGGAUCUAGGUAUGUGUCCCGAUUCCUCUCCUCUCCGUAAAAAACGUAUGUCGUGUCGUUGCUAACUGCUAGAGAUGCCCUUAAUAAGUUCAUCAUGUGGCCAACAACAACCUCCAGGUCGCGUGAGAGUUCUGUGGCAUGGGCAUGCUCUCCCCUAAUUGAUUUUGUAUCAAAGAUUUUGUUCUAGCAUGUGGGUAGAACCCAUGAGUGUUGGAAGUACAUGUUCUAUAUACAUAACAGCUUCUUUGGUUACUUACUCAUCUAAUGGUCAGAUACAAUUUUAGCAACAAUGAAUAGCUGCAUGAUAGUUUUGUUAUCUACUUCUGAAUGAUCAUAAUGUGUAAAACGAAUCAAUUUUACUUGAGGAGUUGAAUCUGUAAAGUUUUGAGAACAUUGACUAUAUACUCCAACACUGCAGGCCAACUCUUGAUGGAUUUCCAAUGUGCUGUUGGCCUCUGAAUUUUUUCUGUCGUGUAGCCGCUCACCAUCUUAGCGUGUGCUAUUCACGGAAGCUGGCUCCUCCACUCAGGCCCUCCUCUGCAAUGCCGACGAGGACACUACUUCGUCUGAACCAAUCUUCGCGACCACGUGCAGGUAUACACAUGUGCUCCCCUGCCACCCCUGCAUUGAUUUAAGGAGAAAUCCAAUUGGGAGUUAUUGAUAGGCACCAAUGUAUUCUUGGUUCAGUUCCCCUGUCUUGAAUUACGUUGAUUCUUUUGGUAAGAUCAAACUGAACAUCACUUGCCCAAACAAGUUGAACGCCUUGCUACAUUAUUGCCCAAUUCUGUAAAAUUGAUCAUAGAACCCCUGCUAUCAUGUCAUGUUUGCUAAUACUUAUUGAGCUAUAAAAUGAUGUUUUCUGUUUAUAAGCUAGCCCUUCUUAUUAUGUUUGAGAAGAUCGAUAGUACCCAUUAAGUUACUACAGUACACUAUAAUAUGCAGAACCUGAGUUUUGGUUGCCAAGCAAAUGUUUGUGCUAAUUCCCACAAGAAAUUUGUGUUUGAAGAAUUAUUACUUUAUCAGGGAAAUAUCUUUUAUAUGGCUUCAUGAAAUCAAAUAUGACACUAGAUUUGCAGAAUGACUAAGCGACAUAGGAAAUUGAUUUAGCACUACCUCAUUAAACAUGAAGACUUAUUCUUGAUUUUGUGUUGAUGUUUCAGAUGGAAUUUUCUCAUAUGACAUCAGGGAUGUAGGUUGAUUGGGUGAACAAGCUUCCUGUGAAACAUCCAGAUCUCGGUGGCAGUGCUUCCGUUCAGCAUCCCACGCGGCGACGUCCUCCGGCAUAAUGCCAAAUACCGUCAGGGAGAGAGCAGAGCGGGAGGGGUAUUGGGUCCAUACCAUUUUGGGUGUUGCUAGUGCCAUGAUUGUGGGUAAUACCCACAGAAGAUUCUAUUCUUGUGAGCGGAUUAAACAAAGUUGAGUAAACAUCAUCCAUAGGAGAUACAUGUGGUAAUUAAGUUUAGAGGAGAAAGUGGUUCUUUAUUCUUGUAAUUUUGGUGUAGAUGUCAUACAGGGGCAGAGAACAAUGGUCUUUUGGGAAAGCCUGUUAACUUUUUGGAGCUGCCUGGUAAAUUUUGGUACGAAUUUAUGUUAGUUCUACCUUUCCAUGAUGUUUAAUUGCUCGGUUCUUAAGGAUUUGUAAGAGGAGAUGGAUUUUGGACUACUCUAUUUCGGAUGCCAGUAACGCGGAUCUUCAGAUGAAAAAUAAAAGAGUGUGCAUGGUGUUUUUUUCUUACAAA
RNAcentral lists this long non-coding RNA (1859 nucleotides) under Triticum aestivum (bread wheat). RNAcentral describes it as "long non-coding RNA (TAES_LNC014872)". The record is from RNAcentral. Lineage: Eukaryota; Viridiplantae; Streptophyta; Magnoliopsida; Poales; Poaceae.